This 440-nucleotide ribosomal RNA is filed under the name uncultured bacterium. RNAcentral's name for it is "bacterial SSU rRNA". It matches the Rfam family "Bacterial small subunit ribosomal RNA", at positions 338 to 794 of the family's 1533-position model. The record is from RNAcentral.
CCUACGGGAGGCAGCAGUAGGGAAUUUUCCACAAUGGGCGAAAGCCUGAUGGAGCAACGCCGCGUGCAGGAUGAAGGCCCUUGGGUUGUAAACUGCUUUUCUCUGUGACGAAUCUGACGGUAGCAGAGGAAUAAGGAUCGGCUAACUCCGUGCCAGCAGCCGCGGUCAUACGGAGGAUCCAAGCGUUAUCCGGAAUUACUGGGCGUAAAGAGUUGCGUAGGUGGCAUAGUAAGUUGGUAGUGAAAGCGUCCCGCUCAACGGGAUACACAUUACCAAAACUGCUAAGCUUGAGUAUGGAAGAGGUAGUUGGAAUUCCCAGUGUAGGAGUGAAAUCCGUAGAUAUUGGGAGGAACACCAAUGGCGUAGGCAGACUACUGGUCCAUUACUGACACUAAGGCACGAAAGCGUGGGGAGCAAACGGGAUUAGAUACCCGAGUAGU